Molecule: ribosomal RNA, 451 nt
Filed under: uncultured bacterium
Lineage: Bacteria
Description: bacterial SSU rRNA
Rfam family: Bacterial small subunit ribosomal RNA
Source: RNAcentral
GUCGGGAAUUUUGGGCAAUGGGGGAAACCCUGACCCAGCAACGCCGCGUGAGGGAUGAAGGCCUUCGGGUCGUAAACCUCUGUCGAGAGGGAAGAAUGAUCUCUGGUCGAACAGGCCAGGGGUUUGACGGUACCUCCAAAGGAAGCACCGGCUAACUCCGUGCCAGCAGCCGCGGUAAUACGGAGGGUGCAAGCGUUGUUCGGAAUUACUGGGCGUAAAGCGCGUGUAGGCGGCUUGGCAAGUCGGGUGUGAAAUCCCGGGGCUCAACCCCGGAACUGCAUUCGAAACUGCCUGGCUGGAGUCCCGGAGAGGGUGGUGGAAUUCCCAGUGUAGAGGUGAAAUUCGUAGAUAUUGGGAGGAACACCAGUGGCGAAGGCGGCCACCUGGACGGUGACUGACGCUGAGACGCGAAAGCGUGGGGAGCAAACAGGAUUAGAUACCCGUGUAGUCC